UGUGCUAAAUCUGAGUAAAUACAUUGCCCAAUAUCUCACACAAGUGACUCAUAGAUAGCAGGUUAAUUAGCAUACUAUGCUGUAUAAAAGGAGAAGGAGAAGGAGAGGAGAGUAAAGGAAGCUCAACACACCUAAAGGAAAUACAAUCAGUUGUUGAACAUCGCAUAAUCCCACCACAUAGACGAGUCUUUGGUGAUUUCUUCUUCUAUUGUUGGAACGACAGAUCAAAAGACUCCUGAAGAAAGAAAAAAUGGAAAGCUGUAUGUUUUUCUCUCCUUCUCCUGCUGCUGGCAUGUAGCUUUGGAGAGGGCCUGAGAUGCAACCGUUGUAUUGGCAAAGGCUGCAGAAACACAGGAGACCUGCCGUAUUGACCAUGACACCCUGCGGCACGCU
Long non-coding RNA from Salvelinus sp. IW2-2015, 393 nucleotides. RefSeq lists it as uncharacterized. The record is from RefSeq and is a predicted model, not a curated record. Lineage: Eukaryota; Metazoa; Chordata; Actinopteri; Salmoniformes; Salmonidae.